ACACACACACACACACACACACACACACGGCUGUGCUCUGUCUCUGGCUCGCCCUGCUGGGCGCAGAGCCUGGUAGAUGGGCCAGCAGUUUCCUGGUGCUCAAGUUUUUAAAAUAGCUGAAGUGGUCACAGCUGUUGCUGGAUUCAGGGCCGGAGGUCGCACGCAUCUCAGCCGAUCCCGCUGCCCCCCCCCCAGACGCCUGGCAAUCCACAAGGAUUGCACGGUACCUUCUGCGGGAAGCCUGCAAAGGGCAGACCUGGCUUGGGCCAGUUCCUGGUGCUGACAGACCCACACCCCCAUCAGCUCCCGCCCCUGCCAAGCAGGUGGCCAGAACUCCAGUGCUCCCGGGUUGGGGGUGGGGUCCCCUGUCCUGUCUCCUGCCGUGAUCCUUCUGGGGGUGGGGGUCUCUCGGGGCCAGGCCCGGGGGAGCCUGGCUGGAGUGGACACAAACAUCAGCGGCCUGCUUUGAGGACACUCACCAUGCAUGCAAGAGUGGGAUAAGAAAGAAAUGCACAGCAAUGCCUGGUCAUUGUGGAAAAACUGAUAAAGUUUACGAUCACCCUGGACCCGGCCAUGAGAUCACCGGAAGUCUGAGCCUGCAGGGCCUGCCCCGAGGCGGUGCUUCCUGAGCCUCCGACAGCUUUCCUGUCUUAGCACACAAGAACCCUAGGAGGGAGACACGAGCAGAGCCCAGGAUUACAGACAACAAUGAGAUGGUGCUCGGUAUUCUGCUCAGCGCAUCCCGGCCCGGCGCCCCGCCAAGUCUCACAGAUGCACGGAGACUGUCCCUGGAAGCUUGUGCGAAGGGGGCUUCUGACGUUCUCUGCUAUUUGAUAACAUUUCAAAGCCUGUGCAAUGGUCGUGUUGGAAAUGGUCAAAGAUGAUCCCCGAGGGCACUUGGCCGACGUCCAAGAAGCAGUGAAGUCUUCAAGCAGCAGGGUUGGUGAGGUCACUGGACGGCCCAGAGCUGAGAGUGUAAAUCCCUCCGCGUAGCAGGAAGAAGUCGAAUUUUUAUGGCUCAACAGGGGACAACUGCUUCAGGGUGACUCCUGGACAGAUGCCUAGGUUUCCAAUUUCACCUGACAGGGAGCACAGCUGCCUCUACCCUUUGAGUUUAUGGCUUAGUCUCGUCUCUUUAUCACAAUGCUUAUUGGAAACCGUUUUUUGUUUGUUUGUUUUUCUUCCGGUACCAGGAAUCGAACUCACAACCUUGGGCUUUCCAGGCAGGCGCUUUGCCGCUGAGCUAAAUCCCCAGCCCUGGAAACCGUUUUUGAAUGUAGCAGGUUGGAUGCGGAGAGUAAAAUCUAAAAGCACCAAAUCAUAUGGGACUGAGGUCUCAAAGAAAGCACCUCAUUGUUGUCCAUAAACCCCGAUGACACAGAAAGUUAGAAAACACAUGAAGUCAGAGAAGUCAGGACGUACAAGCGAGACAGGGCGGCUAUGGCCCAGCGUAAGCUCUGGGGGCUGGAGCUGCAGGUUAUUCACUGGGGCAAUGGAUUUGUUAGGAGCCACGUGGUGGUGCAGCUUAUCAUCAAAUCAGUACGCACAAGUCAGCUUAAAAGGCAUGAGGAACCCUCCUCACGUGCCGAAGGUCCUCAGCAGAUCGCUGCAGACCUCAGCCCAAGGGGUCACUGGAAGCAGGAAAAGAACCUUGCAUUUUUGAGUCUGAUAUCUGCAGGCUGAAAACUCAGGAUUUCUGUCUAUUGAUCUCUUUGUUUUGUUUUGUUUUUUGUCUUUUGCAGUUCAGGCUGGCCUUGAGC
Long non-coding RNA from Chinchilla lanigera (long-tailed chinchilla), 1760 nucleotides. RefSeq lists it as uncharacterized. The transcript has 3 exons. Lineage: Eukaryota; Metazoa; Chordata; Mammalia; Rodentia; Chinchillidae. The record is from RefSeq and is a predicted model, not a curated record.